GUCGUCCAUGAUGCUUUCGAUUUACCGGUCGUACGAAACAAUUCUGCUAGAAAUUCUACCCUUAAAUGUUGGGAAAUUGCUUUCAGAUUCAAACGAGAACAUGCAGGAAAAGAAAAUGAGGACCAGGACAAUUGUUAAGAGAGGAUGCAGCAUCGACGAUAAACGUUGAUGCACUUUGUUCACCCAACACCAACAGUUAGGCUUUGAUAUUCUGGGGAUGUAAAGGAGAUUGGUUAAAUUUAUGAGUGAAAUGUAUGAAUCCUCUAAAAUUUGCCUCAACCUCCUAAACAUUCACAGGCCAAACCAGCGAAUCUACUUUUUUGGGUGAUGUUGAAAUGAUUCCAGACAGCAGGGCUCCAUGCCUAUUGAAAAUUUGUUGCUUGACAGAAAGAAAAUGUUCCCAGAUGCAGUGAACCUGUGGCCAAGAUGUAUUCAACACUUUUCUGGCAGACUAAAUUUUGGUUUAUGGUGCAAAAUAAUUUCCACUUCAAAUAUGAUGUGUAGUCUGCUUCAUCUAUUGUCAAACUAGCUACCCGUGAAGACUGUUACAUCAGAGUUUUUACGUAAUUUUCUUUUCAAAUUUCUUGACCGUAAUAUGAGAAAAGAAAGAAAAAAAGAAGAAAAGGCCAAAGAUAU
This is a long non-coding RNA of Daphnia pulicaria, 636 nucleotides long. RefSeq lists it as uncharacterized. The transcript has 3 exons. NCBI's taxonomy places the organism in Eukaryota, Metazoa, Arthropoda, Branchiopoda, Diplostraca, Daphniidae. The record is from RefSeq and is a predicted model, not a curated record.